RNAcentral lists this long non-coding RNA (1275 nucleotides) under Pan troglodytes (chimpanzee). RNAcentral describes it as "long non-coding RNA NONPTRT009663". The record is from RNAcentral. Lineage: Eukaryota; Metazoa; Chordata; Mammalia; Primates; Hominidae.
AUACCCAGUGAGAAGAUUCCUCAAAAGUGAGGAUGAACUUAAGUUUUUGGACAAAACAAAAAAUUGCAGAAAUUUGUCACCAGCCAACCAGCCCUAAAAUAUAUCCUGGAGGGAAUUCUCCAGGUGGACACUUGGUGUGGGAAGGAACAAGGAAUACUCCUGAAAGAAGCAGAAACGGGAAAGCUAAAUAAAUAAUAGAGUGCCUAAAACUAUCUCUUAGAGUUCAAAAUACAGGUAGACUUAAGAUACAUGGACAGUAAGGACAAAAGGUGGGAGGGAAAUAAAGGAUUGCACCAUCCUGCAAGGGGUGAAAGUAUGGAUUUCAAGUAGAUUCUGGGCCAGGUGCAGUGGCUCACACCUGUAAUCCCAGCACUUUGGGAGGCCAAGGCAGGCGGAUCACCUGAGGUCAGGAAUUUGAGACCAGCCUGGCCAACAUGAUGAAACCCCGUCUUUACUAAAAAAACAAAAAAUUAACUGGGCCUGGUGACGCAUGCCUGUAAUCCCAGCUACUCGGGAGGUUGAGGCACGAGAAUUGCUUGAACCCAGGAGGCGGAGGUUGCAGUGAGCCGAGAUGGCACCACUGCAUCCUAGCCUGGGCGACAGAGCAAGACUUCAUCUCAAAAAAAAUAAUAAAGUAGAUUCUGACAUCAGACGUGAUCUCUAGGGUAACCGCUAAAAGCAAUAAACAUGUUGAUGAAACUGGACUAAUACCUACUUUCACUAAUCCCAAAGAAGGUAAGAAAGGAAAAAUAACCAGAUGGGACACAUAGGAAACAGAGGCAAAUGGUAGCUUUAAACCAAAUGUGUCAGCAAGCAUAUUAAAUGUAAGUGGAAUGCAAACUCCAAUUAAGUGUGUUAGAUUGGAUAGACAAAACCCAGCUAUGUUCAUUCACAGGCUUCACAUAUCAAGUCCAAGGAUGCAGAGUGAAUGCGAGAGGCCAGAAGCCAGGGCACCACCCACACAUCUGCUACAGCUGUUUACAUCUGACAGCACGGCCUCAGGCAGGAGGACUCAUUAGAGAUGGAGGGACAGCUCAGUGACCAAGUGGUGAGGUUAAUGGGAUGACACAACAAUGCUAAACAUAAAAGCACCAAAGAACACAACUCCAAAAUGUGACUGGAACAGAAAGAACUAAGAGGAGAAAUAGACAAUCACAGUGAGAGAUCUGAACACUUGCCUCAGCAGCAAAUAAAGGCUCUGUGGCUGUAUUCAGUAUUUUAUCACCACAAAAAUUCUCAUUGGAGCUUCUGAGUUGAGAGGCAGAGGCAUUUGCA